This 955-nucleotide ribosomal RNA is filed under the name Levilactobacillus brevis. RNAcentral's name for it is "bacterial SSU rRNA". It matches the Rfam family "Bacterial small subunit ribosomal RNA", at positions 379 to 1328 of the family's 1533-position model. Lineage: Bacteria; Bacillati; Bacillota; Bacilli; Lactobacillales; Lactobacillaceae. The record is from RNAcentral.
GAGUCUGAUGGAGCAUGCCGCGUGAGUGAAGAAGGGUUUCGGCUCGUAAAACUCUGUUGUUAAAGAAGAACACCUUUGAGAGUAACUGUUCAAGGGUUGACGGUAUUUAACCAGAAAGCCACGGCUAACUACGUGCCAGCAGCCGCGGUAAUACGUAGGUGGCAAGCGUUGUCCGGAUUUAUUGGGCGUAAAGCGAGCGCAGGCGGUUUUUUAAGUCUGAUGUGAAAGCCUUCGGCUUAACCGGAGAAGUGCAUCGGAAACUGGGAGACUUGAGUGCAGAAGAGGACAGUGGAACUCCAUGUGUAGCGGUGGAAUGCGUAGAUAUAUGGAAGAACACCAGUGGCGAAGGCGGCUGUCUAGUCUGUAACUGACGCUGAGGCUCGAAAGCAUGGGUAGCGAACAGGAUUAGAUACCCUGGUAGUCCAUGCCGUAAACGAUGAGUGCUAAGUGUUGGAGGGUUUCCGCCCUUCAGUGCUGCAGCUAACGCAUUAAGCACUCCGCCUGGGGAGUACGACCGCAAGGUUGAAACUCAAAGGAAUUGACGGGGGCCCGCACAAGCGGUGGAGCAUGUGGUUUAAUUCGAAGCUACGCGAAGAACCUUACCAGGUCUUGACAUCUUCUGCCAAUCUUAGAGAUAAGACGUUCCCUUCGGGGACAGAAUGACAGGUGGUGCAUGGUUGUCGUCAGCUCGUGUCGUGAGAUGUUGGGUUAAGUCCCGCAACGAGCGCAACCCUUAUUAUCAGUUGCCAGCAUUCAGUUGGGCACUCUGGUGAGACUGCCGGUGACAAACCGGAGGAAGGUGGGGAUGACGUCAAAUCAUCAUGCCCCUUAUGACCUGGGCUACACACGUGCUACAAUGGACGGUACAACGAGUCGCGAAGUCGUGAGGCUAAGCUAAUCUCUUAAAGCCGUUCUCAGUUCGGAUUGUAGGCUGCAACUCGCCUACAUGAAGUUG